CCUGACUGCUAUCGGAUUGAUACUAAGCCAUGCGAGUCGUUGUAGCAAUACAAGGCAUACGGCUCAGUAACGCGUAGUCAACCUAACCUAUGGACGGGAAUAACCUCGGGAAACUGAGAAUAAUGCCCGAUAGAACAUUAUGCCUGGAAUGGUUUAUGUUCCAAAUGAUUUAUCGCCAUAGGAUGGGACUGCGGCCUAUCAGUUUGUUGGUGAGGUAAUGGCCCACCAAGACUAUUACAGGUACGGGCUCUGAGAGGAGUAGCCCGGAGAUGGGUACUGAGACACGGACCCAGGCCCUAUGGGGCGCAGCAGGCGAGAAAACUUUGCAAUGUGCGAAAGCACGACAAGGUUAAUCCGAGUGGUUUCUGCUAAAGGAACCUUUUGUUAGUCCUAGAAACACUAACGAAUAAGGGGUGGGCAAGUUCUGGUGUCAGCCGCCGCGGUAAAACCAGCACCUCAAGUGGUCAGGAUGAUUAUUGGGCCUAAAGCAUCCGUAGCCGGCUCUGUAAGUUUUCGGUUAAAUCUGUACGCUCAACGUACAGGCUGCCGGGAAUACUGCAGAGCUAGGGAGUGGGAGAGGUAGACGGUACUCGGGAGGAAGGGGUAAAAUCCUUUGAUCUUUCGAUGACCACCUGUGGCGAAGGCGGUCUACCAGAACACGUCCGACGGUGAGGGAUGAAAGCUGGGGGAGCAAACCGGAUUAGAUACCCGGGUAGUCCCAGCUGUAAACUAUGCAAACUCAGUGAUGCAUUGACUUGUGGUCAAUGCAGUGCUGCAGGGAAGCCGUUAAGUUUGCCGCCUGGGAAGUACGUACGCAAGUAUGAAACUUAAAGGAAUUGGCGGGGGAGCACCACAAGGGGUGAAGCCUGCGGUUCAAUUGGAUUCAACGCCGGG
This 894-nucleotide ribosomal RNA is filed under the name uncultured archaeon. Its description in RNAcentral is "bacterial SSU rRNA". It matches the Rfam family "Archaeal small subunit ribosomal RNA", at positions 21 to 922 of the family's 1478-position model. The record is from RNAcentral.